RNAcentral lists this ribosomal RNA (497 nucleotides) under uncultured bacterium. RNAcentral's name for it is "partial 16S ribosomal RNA". It matches the Rfam family "Bacterial small subunit ribosomal RNA", at positions 28 to 507 of the family's 1533-position model. The record is from RNAcentral.
GAUGAACGCUGGCGGCGUGCCUAAUACAUGCAAGUCGAGCGAACGGACGAGAAGCUUGCUUCUCUGAUGUUAGCGGCGGACGGGUGAGUAACACGUGGAUAACCUACCUAUAAGACUGGGAUAACUUCGGGAAACCGUAGCUAAUACCGGAUAAUAUUUUGAACCGCAUGGUUCAAAAGUGAAAGACGGUCUUGCUGUCACUUAUAGAUGGAUCCGCGCUGCAUUAGCUAGUUGGUAAGGUAACGGCUUACCAAGGCAACGAUGCAUAGCCGACCUGAGAGGGUGAUCGGCCACACUGGAACUGAGACACGGUCCAGACUCCUACGGGAGGCAGCAGUAGGGAACCUUCCGCAAUGGGCGAAAGCCUGACGGAGCAACGCCGCGUGAGUGAUGAAGGUCUUCGGAUCGUAAAACUCUGUCAUUAGGGAAGAACAUAUGUGUAAGUAACUGUGCACAUCUUGACGGUACCUAAUCAGAAAGCCACGGCUAACUACGUG